UGGGGAAUAUUGCACAAUGGGCGCAAGCCUGAUGCAGCCAUGCCGCGUGUAUGAAGAAGGCCUUCGGGUUGUAAAGUACUUUCAGCGGGGAGGAAGGGAGUAAAGUUAAUACCUUUGCUCAUUGACGUUACCCGCAGAAGAAGCACCGGCUAACUCCGUGCCAGCAGCCGCGGUAAUACGGAGGGUGCAAGCGUUAAUCGGAAUUACUGGGCGUAAAGCGCACGCAGGCGGUUUGUUAAGUCAGAUGUGAAAUCCCCGGGCUCAACCUGGGAACUGCAUCUGAUACUGGCAAGCUUGAGUCUCGUAGAGGGGGGUAGAAUUCCAGGUGUAGCGGUGAAAUGCGUAGAGAUCUGGAGGAAUACCGGUGGCGAAGGCGGCCCCCUGGACGAAGACUGACGCUCAGGUGCGAAAGCGUGGGGCAGCAAACAGGAUUAGAUACCCUGGUAGUCCACGCCGUAAACGAUGUCGACUUGGAGGUUGUGCCCUUGAGGCGUGGCUUCCGGAGCUAACGCGUUAAGUCGACCGCCUGGGGAGUACGGCCGCAAGGUUAAAACUCAAAGGAAUUGACGGGGUCAUAGCUGUUUCCU
This 587-nucleotide ribosomal RNA is filed under the name uncultured bacterium. RNAcentral describes it as "partial 16S ribosomal RNA". It matches the Rfam family "Bacterial small subunit ribosomal RNA", at positions 355 to 1375 of the family's 1533-position model. The record is from RNAcentral.